This 373-nucleotide ribosomal RNA is filed under the name Sesamia sp. SEKEG3795. Its description in RNAcentral is "partial 16S large subunit ribosomal RNA". The record is from RNAcentral. Lineage: Eukaryota; Metazoa; Arthropoda; Insecta; Lepidoptera; Noctuidae.
UUGGUGACUUGUAUGAAGGAUUGGAUGAGAUAUAAUCUGUCUCUUAAUUAUAAAGUAGAAUUUAAUUUUUUAAUUAAAAAGUUAAAAUAUAUUAAAAAGACGAGAAGACCCUAUAGAGUUUUAUAGAUUAAGAUAAUUAAGAUUAUUUAUAAAAUAAAAAUUGAAAUUAUUUUAUUUAUUGUGUUGGGGUGACAGAAAAAUAUAAAAAACUUUUUAUAUAGAAAAACAUUGAUAAAUGAUUAAAUGAUCCAAUAUUAUUGAUUAUAAGAAAAAAUUACCUUAGGGAUAACAGCGUAAUUUUUUUUUUUAGUUCACAUAAAAAAAAGAGUUUGCGACCUCGAUGUUGGAUUAAGAUAAAAUUUAAAUGUAGAAG